This 199-nucleotide long non-coding RNA is filed under the name Elaeis guineensis (African oil palm). Its description in RNAcentral is "long non-coding RNA (EGUI_LNC018144)". Lineage: Eukaryota; Viridiplantae; Streptophyta; Magnoliopsida; Arecales; Arecaceae. The record is from RNAcentral.
UCAAAUGCCCACAUGACCAAAAUAUGAUAUUAGACACGUUAAAGACAACCCAAAGUCCAAUCACUUGAAUCUUAAAUCAUGUUAAACAUUGUUUUUACCCCACAUAGAGACACUAAAGUGAAUGUUCAGUAUUCAAAUAGGGAAAAAAUGAUAAUAAACUAUGAAUGCUGUUCCAAACCAAAUGUCAACCUUCCUAAAG